This is a non-coding RNA of Acanthosepion pharaonis, 113 nucleotides long. The record is from the annotation of a GenBank genome assembly. NCBI's taxonomy places the organism in Eukaryota, Metazoa, Mollusca, Cephalopoda, Sepiida, Sepiidae.
UACAGUCAUACCAUGUUGAAAUACUAGUUCCUAUACGAACACCAAAGUUAAGCAACAUCAAGCCUGGUCACUACCUAGAUGGAUGACCGCUUGGGAAUACCAGGUACUGUAAG